Molecule: ribosomal RNA, 295 nt
Filed under: uncultured soil bacterium
Lineage: Bacteria
Description: partial 16S ribosomal RNA
Rfam family: Bacterial small subunit ribosomal RNA
Source: RNAcentral
AGAACGAACGCUGGCGGCAUGCCGAACACAUGCAAGUCGAACGAGACCUUCGGGUCUAGUGGCGCACGGGUGCGUAACGCGUGGGAAUCUACCCUUGGGUUCGGAAUAACAGUUGGAAACGACUGCUAAUACCGGAUGAUGUCGCAAGACCAAAGAUUUAUCGCCCAAGGAUGAGCCCGCGUAGGAUUAGCUAGUUGGUGAGGUAAAGGCUCACCAAGGCGACGAUCCUUAGCUGGUCUGAGAGGAUGAUCAGCCACACUGGGACUGGAGACACGGCCCAGACCUCCGUACGGGA